RNAcentral lists this transfer RNA (74 nucleotides) under archaeon. RNAcentral describes it as "tRNA-Ile". It matches the Rfam family "tRNA". From Rfam's summary of the family: Transfer RNA (tRNA) molecules are approximately 80 nucleotides in length. Their secondary structure includes four short double-helical elements and three loops (D, anti-codon, and T loops). The record is from RNAcentral.
GGGCUUGUAGCUCAGGUGGUUAGAGCGCUACGCUGAUAACGUAGAGGUCGCAGGUUCGAAUCCUGUCAGGCCCA